UUGGAGGGCAAGUCUGGUGCCAGCAGCCGCGGUAAUUCCAGCUCCAAUAGCGUAUAUUAAAGUUGUUGCAGUUAAAAAGCUCGUAGUUGAAUUUCGGGAUCAAUUUAUUGGUCGUGCUAUUGUACGUACUGGUAUUAUUGAUUUCUACCUUCUGACAAACCAUGAUGUCAUUAAUUUGGUGUCAUGGGGAAUCAGGACUGUUACUUUGAAAAAAUUAGAGUGUUUAAAGCAGGCUCACGCUUGAGCACAUUAGCAUGGAAUAACGAAAUAGGACGUUUGAUUCUAUUUUGUUGGUUUCUAGGAUCGACGUAAUGAUUAAUAGGGAUAGUUGGGGGCAUUAGUAUUCAAUCGUCAGAGGUGAAAUUCUUGGAUUUAUUGAAGACUAACUACUGCGAAAGCAUUUGCCAAGGAUGUUUUCAUUAAUCAAGAACGAAAGUUAGGGGAUCGAAGACGAUCAGAUACCGUCGUAGUCUUAACCAUAAACUAUGCCGACUAGGGAUCGGAUGAUGUUAAUUUUUUAAUGACUCAUUCGGCGCCUUACGGGAAAC
Molecule: ribosomal RNA, 548 nt
Filed under: uncultured Glomeromycotina
Lineage: Eukaryota; Fungi; Glomeromycota
Description: SSU rRNA
Rfam family: Eukaryotic small subunit ribosomal RNA
Source: RNAcentral